UCCGCCGCCGCCUCUCCCGCUCCAAUGGACUCCGCCCCCAAAACCCUCCGCACCCGACUCUGCAUCAUCGGCAGCGGCCCCGCCGCCCACACCGCUGCCAUCUACGCCGCCCGCGCCGAGCUGAAACCCAUUCUCUUCGAAGGCUGGAUGGCCAACGACAUCGCCGCUGGCGGCCAGCUCACCACCACAACCGACGUCGAGAACUUCCCCGGCUUUCCCGACGGUAUCAUGGGCUUCGAUCUCAUGGACAGGUGCCGCGCCCAGUCCACCCGCUUCGGCACCGAGAUCUUCUCCGAAACCGUCACCCACGUCGAUUUCUCCACCCGCCCUUUCAAGAUCGUCUCCGAUUCCACCUCCGUUGAAGCCGACGCCGUCAUCGUCGCAACCGGCGCCGUCGCCCGCCGGCUCCAUUUCACCGGUUCCGAGGAGUACUGGAACCGCGGGAUCUCGGCUUGCGCGGUCUGCGACGGUGCAGCGCCGAUCUUCCGGAACCGCCCGAUUGCCGUGAUUGGCGGUGGAGAUUCGGCGAUGGAGGAAGCUAAUUUUUUGACUAAGUAUGGUUCACAGGUGUACAUUAUUCAUAGACGGGAUACGUUCCGUGCGUCGAAGAUUAUGCAGGCGAGGGCGCUGGCGAACAAGAAGAUUCAGGUGGUAUGGAACUCGGAGGUGGUGGAGGCAUAUGGGGAGGGCGAGAACGGCCAGUUGGCUGGGGUGAAGGUGAGGAACUUUGGAUCGGGGGAGAUCUCGGAUAUUAAGCUGUCGGGAUUGUUCUUUGCUAUUGGGCAUGAGCCGGCUACGAAGUUUCUUGCAGGGCAGCUGGAGUUGGAUUCUGAUGGGUAUGUGGUGACGAAGCCGGGGACGGCGCAUACUAGUGUGAAGGGGGUGUUUGCUGCGGGGGAUGUACAGGAUAAGAAGUAUCGGCAGGCGAUUACCGCUGCGGGAUCAGGGUGUAUGGCUGCCUUGGAUGCGGAGCACUACCUGCAGGAGAUUGGAAGUCAGGCGGGAAAAAGUGAUUGACUAUCUUUAUAUCCUGCCACUGCCUGCUCCUCAUCGCCAGUGAAGGCUAAUUUAUAGGAUGCAUGGUAUACUGCAGGAGCUUAGCAAUUUAUUACUAUUAUUAUUAUUCCUCCAAUUGAACUGAUUAAGAAAUUCAGUAGUGAUUGGUGAUCAUGUUGUUUGGAUUUAUGUUACUUUGUUAUUUUAUUAUUCUG
Molecule: unclassified non-coding RNA, 1211 nt
Filed under: Hevea brasiliensis (rubber tree)
Lineage: Eukaryota; Viridiplantae; Streptophyta; Magnoliopsida; Malpighiales; Euphorbiaceae
Source: RNAcentral